UGAGGACCGUAGUUGGGAACCACUGCCCCUAUACAGUGAAAACCGGGAUUCAUCCAUGAAGAGAACACAUCUACAAAGUGCCAGACUCCAUCGAAUGUGAGCAUUUGCCCACUCAAGUCGGUUACGACGAGGAACUGCAGUCAGGUCGAGACCCGGAUUGUAGGCACUCCGGAGAUCCAAUAUCGGGAAGAAGCGCACGCCAGGCAUAGAUUCCACCACAGAGGAAAUGAGAGGAAGUGGCGUUGAAGCAGGACCCAAGCACAGCCAUGAAGGACAAAUAAAGGAUGUAAUGGUGGAACAGAGGCAGUAAAACCAAAAACAAACAGCAGAAAAACAGGUAGGCAAAAACACAGACUGGCGGCAGGGACGGACAUAAACCAAGUACAAAACACAAUGACCGACAAGGGGCUAACAGAAGAUGGCAAACUAAAUAAGGGGCUAACGAGGACCAACAAGACACAUGUGCAAACAACAAGGACAGGCACAAGCUGUGGAGAAGGACAGAAACAAAAACCAAACAUGACAGGGCUACAUUCAAAGCCAAACCAAAACAGAACAGAACAGAAUGUUACACUCUCACUGUUCAAUUAAACCUACCAUUAAAAUUAUAAUGAUAAUUUCUUUGUCAGUGGGCAAACUUCCAAAAUCAGUAGGGGAUCACUGUAUAUAAAUUAUUUUUGGCAAUUGUUUUCAUAUUUCACAAGGAGGAUUGUCACUGCAUUUCAGCCAUGUAAAUACUUGUCAUUGUUUGUCUGUUCUCCAUAAAUACAUACACAAUUAUGAUGACACAGGCACACACACAAAAAUCUGAACAGAAAUGAAGGUUACACUUUGUGUAUCUGUAGAUGUUCUAUAGAUAUGAAUACUUAAACAUUCAACAAACUAUAAGUUGAUAAGCAACUGCUUGCUAGGAUUCAUAAGAAUGUGGCAGCCUAUGCUAGGGUAAUGCGAACAUUCAGACUGCCCACUCAACUGCUUUUUCUGAAUCUCGUGUUCCAUUUAGCAACUAGCCAUUCAACACGCCCUAAUCUCUAAGACGUGGGUGGUCAACAAGACAGCAUGAGGAGAGUUUGGGGGUAAGAUAAGUGCCAAGUGGUCGCAUGGUUGAACAUCGCUGCAGUGUACCAGAGUAUUUAGUCAGUGCCUGAAUGAACGAUUAAAAGUCCCCAGACAGGCAAUAAACUCUCUGCUGCAAAGUGCAAGAGAAGUUGUUUACCCAAUAAAAUGGACAGCCGCAUUGCAGACAGGGCUUACAUCACAAGCUGGCCUCAGCACAGAGCCGGGUGCACAAAUAUAGGACACAAAGUAUUUGAAUCCAUUGUUCCUAAGACGCAAAGGUGGGAGCCUACCAGAUGGCGAACAGACCCUGGCAAAAAGGUUUGUCACCUUGAAGAAAAACUGUUCAAAUCUCCAGCCAAUCAUUCCAUUAGCAAUACAUUCCGGCUUGACGUAGCAAAACAAGUAGACCACAAUGAAUUCAGUAGGAACAAUGUUUUACUUCCAAACAACUCAUGUCAUGAAGCCAAACUCUCUCAAUAGCAGCAAACUGUUUAAAAUUAAUACAUCGUGCUGAGCUCUCUUCAACUCUGCUGUCGUGGCUCGACUGUGUUCUUAGGUGUGCAUGCUAGUGAUUAGUCAUAGUCGGCAGACCCCAAUGUUAUAUACAGCUCCGGAUAAAAUUAAGAGACUACUGCACCUUUU
Molecule: long non-coding RNA, 1701 nt
Organism: Esox lucius (northern pike)
Lineage: Eukaryota; Metazoa; Chordata; Actinopteri; Esociformes; Esocidae
Exons: 3
Source: RefSeq, a predicted model, not a curated record